Molecule: ribosomal RNA, 520 nt
Filed under: uncultured Glomus
Lineage: Eukaryota; Fungi; Glomeromycota; Glomeromycetes; Glomerales; Glomeraceae
Also listed under: 1 other name
Description: SSU rRNA
Rfam family: Eukaryotic small subunit ribosomal RNA
Source: RNAcentral
AGCAGCCGCGGUAAUUCCAGCUCCAAUAGCGUAUAUUAAAGUUGUUGCAGUUAAAAAGCUCGUAGUUGAAUUUCGGGAUCAAGUCGUCGGUCGUGCUCAGGUACGUACUGGCGUCAUUGAUUUCUCCCUUCUGACGAACCAUGAUGUCAUUAAUUUGGUGUUAUGGGAAAUCAGGACUGUUACUUUGAAAAAAUUAGAGUGUUUAAAGCAGGCUCACGCUUGAAUACAUUAGCAUGGAAUAAUGAAAUAGGACGUUCGAUCCUAUUUUGUUGGUUUUAGGAUCAACGUAAUGAUUAAUAGGGAUAGUUGGGGGCAUUAGUAUUCAAUUGUCAGAGGUGAAAUUCUUGGAUUUAUUGAAGACUAACUACUGCGAAAGCAUUUGCCAAGGAUGUUUUCAUUAAUCAAGAACGAAAGUUAGGGGAUCGAAGACGAUCAGAUACCGUCGUAGUCUUAACCAUAAACUAUGCCGACUAGGGAUCGGAUGAUGUUAAUUUUUUAAUGACUCAUUCGGCGCCUUACG